UGGGGAAUAUUGGACAAUGGGCGAAAGCCUGAUCCAGCCAUGCCGCGUGUGUGAAGAAGGUCUUCGGAUUGUAAAGCACUUUAAGUUGGGAGGAAGGGCAUUAACCUAAUACGUUAGUGUUUUGACGUUACCGACAGAAUAAGCACCGGCUAACUCUGUGCCAGAAGCCGCGGUAAUACAGAGGGUGCAAGCGUUAAUCGGAAUUACUGGGCGUAAAGCGCGCGUAGGUGGUUUGUUAAGUUGGAUGUGAAAUCCCCGGGCUCAACCUGGGAACUGCUUUCAAAACUGACUGACUAGAGUAUGGUAGAGGGUGGUGGAAUUUCCUGUGUAGCGGUGAAAUGCGUAGAUAUAGGAAGGAACACCAGUGGCGAAGGCGACCACCUGGACUAAUACUGACACUGAGGUGCGAAAGCGUGGGGAGCAAACA
Molecule: ribosomal RNA, 427 nt
Filed under: uncultured bacterium
Lineage: Bacteria
Description: partial 16S ribosomal RNA
Rfam family: Bacterial small subunit ribosomal RNA
Source: RNAcentral